Molecule: long non-coding RNA, 2207 nt
Organism: Astatotilapia calliptera (eastern happy)
Lineage: Eukaryota; Metazoa; Chordata; Actinopteri; Cichliformes; Cichlidae
Source: Ensembl
CGAUCGAGCACCAAUGCACUGGCCAUCCCUGCUCCCGGCUCAAGGAACCAUGUCUCCAAUAUGGUGUCCUAAAAAGGAUUGUGUUGGCAUCCUGGGCAUGAGACUUCCAUUGUGAUGAACCCGAGAUGAGAGGGGGGGGGGGGGGGGCGGCAGGAGAAAGGGGUAAGAAAGAGAAAGAGUGUGUGAGAGAGAGAGAGAGAGAGAGAGAGAGAGAGAGAGAGAGAAAGAGGGAGGGAGGGUGGAGUUUGGAGUUUAGGGUUAGGGUGUGGGGAAAGACUAGGCCCGGCUAUGCCGGAACCUAAGUGCACGGUCCAUCCAUGGGACUGGUAUUGGUGCCCCCUGAUCAAAAAAUUACCCUAAGCGGGUGUAGUGCACUGUGGUGGGCCUUCGCGACGUUUCGGCUUCUCUGAGCCUUCUUCAGGCUGGCCCACCCGCUUUUGUGUUCUGUUUCGCCACUCUGGGCCUUUUAUACUUUUCUUUUUCCUUUUCGUUUUUCUUAACUUUUUCUGUUUCUUAGUUUUUUCUUGUUCUCAGCUUUGGCUGCUUACUCUCCCUUUUUCUAUCUUUUUCUGUUGUUCUUUAUCUUUCUGUUUUUCUUUAUCCUUCCCUUUGUAUUUCUGUUAUUCUUUAUUCUUGUUCUUUAUUCUUUCUGUUUUUCUUUAUCUUUCCCUUUGUAUUCUGUUGUUCUUUAUUCUUUCUGUUCUUUAUUAUUCCUCUUAAUUUCUCUUGUGUUCUUUCUUUUAUUCUUUCUCAUAUUUCUUUAAAUGGCACCCCCUUCUCUUUAGACAUCCCGUCCGUGGUCUAUAUUUUUCUUUUAUGGCACCCCCUUCCUGUAAAUCCUUUCCUUUUGUACUUUGUCUUUUUUCUGACCUUUCUUGUCUUUUUUUCUCUUAGCUUAGGCUUUUAAAGUUCCCUUAGAGUUAGGGCUAGAGGGGGAGGGGGGAGGGGGGCAAAGGGGUUAGGGUUAGGAUAAGGUAGUGGGUGGGGGGCUCCCCACAAUGAGGGAGAGAGGAAAUGGGCAGGGGCACCACCAAUCCCAGGAGGCACAGGCUGGUUAGGGUGUGGGGAAAGACUAGGCCCGGGUUAGGGUUAGGGGGGUUAGGGGUUAGGGUUAGGUUAGGGGCCUAUUGAUCUUGUACAGUCACUAUUGUGAGUCCGGUGCACUGGCAACAGCUGCCUGGUCACUGUCACUCAUGUCUCACCCCUUGUGGCAAACCAGUCUAUUAUCACUCUCAUUAGAAGAAAAAAAAUUCAAUUGAAGACACAAUAUUCUUUUUUUUUUUUUUUUUUUUUUUUUUUUUUUUUUUUUUUUUUUUUUGCCCCAGCAUGUACCUCUCCAACUUUUAUUGUCAUGUCAAGAGUCUCACAAAGCAGCAAUAAUUGUCAAUACAAUUGAAAGGGAGCAAUUCAGACUGCGUUCAGGCCCCGUGGAUGUUGAGUUCGCAGUCUGGAAAUCCACAAUCUCUCAUAUCUCCUCCUCUGGCCCUCCGUCCAUGUCGCACAGGUUUGAAGUCCCGUUAUACUGAGAUGUUGUAAUGUGUGAAUUUGGAAGUGCAAUACUAGUGGAGUGUCCAGUCCAUUCCUCUCAAUAUUGUAAAUAUGUUGUUUUAACCUCUCCAACAGAGUUUGACCUGUUUCACCCACAUAGAGUAGACCACAUUCUUCGCAACAGAUGCAAUAAACGAUGUUGCUCGUGUUUAGGGACAUUCUCUGUAAGAUGGGUGCCCCUAUUUUCCCAUAAGGAUUAUACAAGAACCGUUUCGGUUGAAAGGCCCAAUGAUUGGGUUUCCCCGAUCUUAUACGUCUCAUCUGUUCUGGCAACUUGGCCCUGACGAGCAUAUCUCUCAGAUUCUUGUUCCUCCUGUGGGCUGAAAUCACUCUGCAGUCUUGGAGUCGUAUCAAACCAGAGGUGUAUUUCUUAAAGUUUGUUUUGAGUUGAUGAUGCAAUGGUAGGUGAGAACGCGAGUAAGUGGUAACUAAUGGCAUAAGUCUAUUCUGUUCUCCCUGUUGUAUCUGAUUUUGAGUCUGAUUUCCCCUCAUUGCAUUAGAGUUUAGUCCAGCAAGGGUGCUGCUCUUAAUUGUUCUAAGGAACCUACUAGAAUAUCCCCUCUUCCUGAGGCUCCGGAAUAAUAUGCCAAUUGCAUCCUGAAGAUCUGAUUCCUUUGAAGAAAUUCUAUAGAACCUGAUGAUUUGGGACUUUAUGAUAC